Molecule: ribosomal RNA, 648 nt
Filed under: Bombina orientalis
Lineage: Eukaryota; Metazoa; Chordata; Amphibia; Anura; Bombinatoridae
Description: partial 16S ribosomal RNA
Rfam family: Bacterial large subunit ribosomal RNA (bases 162-648)
Source: RNAcentral
AGCCAUAAUUCUAGUUCAACUACACCCCACAUCACAAGUUACAAUAAACUAAAACAUUACCUAACUUUAGUAAAGGCGAUAGAACAAAAAAUAGGAACAAUAAAUAAAGUACCGCAAGGGAACGAUGAAAUAGAAAUGAAAAAACUCAUUAAAGCAUAAAAAAGCAAAGACCCCCCCUUGUACCUUUUGCAUCAUGGUCUGACAAGUCAAUCCAAGCAAAAAGAAUUUCAGCUUGUUCCCCCGAAACUAAGCGAGCUACUCCUGGACAGCUCCGAGAGCAAACCCGUCUCUGUGGCAAAAGAGUGGAAAGAUCCACGAGUAGUGGUGAUAGACCUAACGAGCUUAGUGAUAGCUGGUUGCCCGAGAAAAGAACAUAAAUUCUGCCUUAAAACUUAGACACCAUCAAAGUGCACCCCAGCUUUAAGAGUUAUUCAAACGAGGUACAGCUCGUUUGAAACAGGAAACAACCUAACACCUAGGUAAAGAUUAUACUUUUUAAGGUCUUGACAAAGUUGGCCUAAAAGCAGCCACCUUGUAAGAAAGCGUCACAGCUCAAACAAACUACCACACUAAUACCUAUAACUUCUUCUAACCCUACCAAACUAUCGAGCCCAUUUAUAUUGUAUAAAAAGUUUAUGUUAGAACUAG